Sinocyclocheilus grahami is the source of this 176-nucleotide long non-coding RNA. RefSeq lists it as uncharacterized. Lineage: Eukaryota; Metazoa; Chordata; Actinopteri; Cypriniformes; Cyprinidae. The record is from RefSeq and is a predicted model, not a curated record. The transcript has 3 exons.
CACGCUCUUCCUAUCUCUUCCCAGACCAGCUACAGUAACAGAUCAUGAUGAGGUUCAUAGUCCUCGCCCUCGCUGUUUUGCUGGCAGGUACAUAAAGCCCUUUACUCCUCUCCACACCGUCAAAAAAUCCAUUUCUGAAUCAGCAUUUUUGUCUUGUUUUCCAGUUUAAAAUGUAA